CUACGGGGGGCUGCAGUGGGGAAUCUUAGACAAUGGGGGAAACCCUGAUCUAGCCAUGCCGCGUGAGCGACGACGGCCCUAGGGUUGUAAAGCUCUUUCAGCAGGGAAGAUAAUGACGGUACCUGCAGAAGAAGUCCCGGCUAACUCCGUGCCAGCAGCCGCGGUAAUACGGAGGGGACUAGCGUUGUUCGGAAUUACUGGGCGUAAAGCGCGCGUAGGCGGAUUGUUAAGUCGGGGGUGAAAUCCCGGGGCUCAACCCCGGAACUGCCCUCGAUACUGGCAGUCUUGAGUUCGAGAGAGGUGAGUGGAAUUCCGAGUGUAGAGGUGAAAUUCGUAGAUAUUCGGAGGAACACCAGUGGCGAAGGCGGCUCACUGGCUCGAUACUGACGCUGAGGUGCGAAAGCGUGGGGAGCAAACAGGAUUAGAUACCCUAGUAGUC
This 439-nucleotide ribosomal RNA is filed under the name uncultured bacterium. RNAcentral's name for it is "partial 16S ribosomal RNA". It matches the Rfam family "Bacterial small subunit ribosomal RNA", at positions 339 to 795 of the family's 1533-position model. The record is from RNAcentral.